GCAAACUUGGUCAUUUAGAGGAAGUAAAAGUCGUAACAAGGUUUCCGUAGGUGAACCUGCGGAAGGAUCAUUAUUGAAAAAGCUUAGGGGUACUGUUGCUGGCCUUAUUGGCAUGUGCACGUAUCUUUAAUCCUUAUCAUCCACCUGUGAACCUUUUGUAGAAGUCUUUUUCGAAGUUUUUCAGAUGCCUUAGGGUAUUCUGGUGUGGGUAUAUGCAUACUAAUGCUUUACCUGGUUGGCUACAAUUGUGGUUGACCGUUUGAAAAGGGCUUCUAUGUUUUUAUAAACCAAGUUAAGCAUGUUUAGAAUGUUGUUUAUUGGGACUUGAUUGACCCUUUAAAUUUUAUACAACUUUCAGCAACGGAUCUCUUGGCUCUCCCAUCGAUGAAGAACGCAGC
This 398-nucleotide unclassified non-coding RNA is filed under the name uncultured fungus. RNAcentral describes it as "partial contains small subunit ribosomal RNA, internal transcribed spacer 1, and 5.8S ribosomal RNA". The stretch from base 1 to 73 matches the Rfam family "Eukaryotic small subunit ribosomal RNA", at positions 1759 to 1831 of the family's 1831-position model. The record is from RNAcentral. Lineage: Eukaryota; Fungi.